GGUCCUGACAUGGUGAUUUGGGGCACGUCCCUUUCCAACUAAGACUCCAUUUCUCCCUGUGCCACAGAGAGGAAUCCUGCCUCAGACCUCAAAACACACCACACUUCUAACCCUGCAGGUCUUCAAAAGUACCAGAAAAUUUUGAUUGGAGCCUCUGUGGCCUUUGUCCUGCUGUUCUGCUUCCUCCUCUUCUUCCUCUUCCUCUUCAAGCACCAGAAGAAAUGCAGAAAGUCAGGUGUUUCAGACCUUGAAGUUAAGACCAGAGCACUAUAGAAAAGCUCCAGCUCCAUGGCUCCUGUUCAAGGGGAGAACCAGUGCAAUCAGAGAGGAGGUUCUUCCAUGAGAAAUUCCCAAUCUGAGGAAGAUGAAGUGAUGGACAGUAAGGAUACUCCAUCUGAAGACCCCCAGGAUGUGACCUAUGCCCAGCUGAACCGCAAGACCCUCAAACGAGCAGCAAGUGCACCCCGUUCACCCCCAUCAGAGGAGCCCCCAGAUGACCCCAGUGUGUACACUGCUCUGGCCGUCCACUAGCUAGCCCAGAAAGGACCCAGACCCCACACUUUAGAGAGGGGGCCUGCAGGGACCUCAGAUGGCAUAGGGGCUGUCCCCUUGGACGCUUAGCUACUGACCCCAAGUCUGAAGAUGUUCUGUAAGCAAGCAAGAUGCCACAAGACCUAGAAGUCACCUCGUUCUGCAGAGGAAGAUAACCAUGAACUCUGUAUUUUUAUUUUUUCUUUUUUUAAUAUAUUUUAUUGAUUAUGCUAUUACA
Long non-coding RNA from Phyllostomus discolor (pale spear-nosed bat), 769 nucleotides. RefSeq lists it as uncharacterized. The record is from RefSeq and is a predicted model, not a curated record. Lineage: Eukaryota; Metazoa; Chordata; Mammalia; Chiroptera; Phyllostomidae. The transcript has 6 exons.